RNAcentral lists this ribosomal RNA (471 nucleotides) under uncultured bacterium. RNAcentral's name for it is "bacterial SSU rRNA". It matches the Rfam family "Bacterial small subunit ribosomal RNA", at positions 28 to 498 of the family's 1533-position model. The record is from RNAcentral.
GAUGAACGCUAGCGGCAGGCUUAACACAUGCAAGUCGAGGGGUAGAAGGAGCUUGCUCCUUUGAGACCGGCGCACGGGUGCGUAACGCGUAUGCAAUCUACCUUUUGCAGAGGGAUAGCCCAGAGAAAUUUGGAUUAAUACCUCAUAGUAUGUGAGGAUGGCAUCAUUUUCACAUUAAAGUCACAACGGCAAAAGAUGAGCAUGCGUCCCAUUAGCUAGUUGGUAAGGUAACGGCUUACCAAGGCUACGAUGGGUAGGGGUCCUGAGAGGGAGAUCCCCCCACACUGGUACUGAGACACGGACCAGACUCCUACGGGAGGCAGCAGUGAGGAAUAUUGGUCAAUGGACGCAAGUCUGAACCAGCCAUGCCGCGUGCAGGAUGACGGUCCUAUGGAUUGUAAACUGCUUUUGUACGAGAAGAAACACAUUACGUGUAAUGUCUUGACGGUAUCGUAAGAAUAAGGAUCGGCU